This 464-nucleotide ribosomal RNA is filed under the name uncultured Geobacteraceae bacterium. Its description in RNAcentral is "partial 16S ribosomal RNA". It matches the Rfam family "Bacterial small subunit ribosomal RNA", at positions 338 to 794 of the family's 1533-position model. The record is from RNAcentral. Lineage: Bacteria; Pseudomonadati; Thermodesulfobacteriota; Desulfuromonadia; Geobacterales; Geobacteraceae.
CCUACGGGCGGCAGCAGUGGGGAAUUUUGCGCAAUGGGGGCAACCCUGACGCAGCAACGCCGCGUGAGUGAUGAAGGCCUUCGGGUCGUAAAGCUCUGUCAGAGGGGAAGAAAUGCAGGUGGUGAACAACCAUUCUGUUUGACGGUACCCUCAAAGGAAGCACCGGCUAACUCCGUGCCAGCAGCCGCGGUAAUACGGAGGGUGCGAGCGUUGUUCGGAAUUAUUGGGCGUAAAGCGCGUGUAGGCGGUUUGUUAAGACGGAUGUAAAAGCCCCGGGCUCAACCUGGGAAGUGCAUUGGAGACUGGCAGACUAGAGUGCGGGAGAGGGGAGUGGAAUUCCCGGUGUAGGAGUGAAAUCCGUAGAUAUCGGGAGGAACACCGAUGGCGAAGGCGGCCCCCUGGACUGAUACUGACGCUGAGGCGCGAAAGCGUGGGGAGCAAACGGGAUUAGAUACCCUGGUAGU